RNAcentral lists this ribosomal RNA (406 nucleotides) under uncultured bacterium. RNAcentral describes it as "partial 16S ribosomal RNA". It matches the Rfam family "Bacterial small subunit ribosomal RNA", at positions 30 to 526 of the family's 1533-position model. The record is from RNAcentral.
AUUGAACGCUGGCGGCAGGCCUAACACAUGCAAGUCGAGCGAGCGGCGGACGGGUGAGUUAUGUAUGGGAACCUGCCUGAUGGAGGGGGAUAACUACGGGAAACGGUAGUUAAUACCGCAUACCAUCAGAUGAACCCAUAUGGGAGUAGCUUGUAGGUGAGGUAACGGCUUACCUGGCCGACGAUGCCUAGCUGGUCUGAGAGGAUGAUGAGCCACAUUGGGCAUAAUCCGCGGCCCAUACGCCUACGUGAGGCAGCAGUGGGAAAUAUGGCACAUAUGGCGCAAGCCGGAUGAAGCCAUGCCGCGGGUGUGAAGAAGGCGUUCGGGUUGUAAAGUUCGUUCACUCGGUAGGCGUUAGCGACAGAAGAAGCGCCGGCUAACUCCGUGCCAGCAGCCGCGGUAAUUC